UUUAUGGAGAGUUUGAUCCUGGCUCAGGAUGAACGCUGGCGGCGUGCCUAAUACAUGCAAGUCGAGCGAACGGACGAGAAGAUUGCUUCUCUGAUGUUAGCGGCGGACGGGUGAGUAACACGUGGAUAACCUACCUAUAAGACUGGGAUAACUUCGGGAAACCGGAGCUAAUACCGGAUAAUAUUUUGAACCGCAUGGUUCAAAAGU
This 207-nucleotide ribosomal RNA is filed under the name Staphylococcus aureus. Its description in RNAcentral is "partial 16S ribosomal RNA". It matches the Rfam family "Bacterial small subunit ribosomal RNA", at positions 1 to 202 of the family's 1533-position model. The record is from RNAcentral. Lineage: Bacteria; Bacillati; Bacillota; Bacilli; Caryophanales; Staphylococcaceae.